Molecule: ribosomal RNA, 503 nt
Filed under: uncultured bacterium
Lineage: Bacteria
Description: partial 16S ribosomal RNA
Rfam family: Bacterial small subunit ribosomal RNA
Source: RNAcentral
AUUGAACGCUGGCGGCAGGCUUAACACAUGCAAGUCGAGCGGGGUGAUGGUGCUUGCACUAUCACUUAGCGGCGGACGGGUGAGUAAUGCUUAGGAAUCUGCCUAUUAGUGGGGGACAACAUCUCGAAAGGGAUGCUAAUACCGCAUACGUCAUACGGGAGAAAGCAGGGGAUCACUUGUGACCUUGCGCUAAUAGAUGAGCAUAAGUCGGAUUAGCUAGUUGGUGGGGUAAAGGCCUACCAAGGCGACGAUCUGUAGCGGGUCUGGGAGGAUGAUCCGCCACACUGGGACUGAGACACGGCCCAGACUCCUACGGGAGGCAGCAGUGGGGAAUAUUGGACAAUGGGGGGAACCCUGAUCCGGCCAUGCCGCGUGUGUGAAGAAGGCCUUAUGGUUGUAAAGCACUUUAAGCGAGGAGGAGGCUCUUUUGGUUAAUACCCAAGAUGAGUGGACGUUACUCGCAGAAUAAGCACCGGCUAACUCUGUGCCAGCCGCCGCAGUAA